Molecule: long non-coding RNA, 507 nt
Organism: Bos mutus (wild yak)
Lineage: Eukaryota; Metazoa; Chordata; Mammalia; Artiodactyla; Bovidae
Source: Ensembl
CCCCGGGCGGGUCGGGCGCGUAGGGCGCGCGGGUCCCCUCUUGCGACCCCCGAAUCUAGCGAGUUCGAGGGAGACUGUGCUGGUUGGACGGGCCGCCGCCGCCAACCUUCCUAGGGGCCGAUCGGGGAAGGCGCCCGGCGGCUUCCGGGGAUCCUCCCCGCACCGGCUCUCCCCGACAGCCUCCUGCGUCCUUACUUUCUUUGCCCUGUUCCUUUCCUCACCCCUUCCUGCGGAAAUUAUCAUCUCAGAAAACUUUCUUUCUCCGUUUCCCCUCCCCCCUCCUUUUCUUUCUUUCCCCCUCUGCCCUUUAUCCCGGCGCAGCCUGGCAGAGAAGAGCGAUAGCAGCGGGCUCCGAGGUGCCCGCAGGCUCUCUCCAGUCCCCAUGACUGUCUUCCCCAGCUGUAUUCAGAAGGCCGUGGAUGUCUCCUCAGCAACCCCCCAACCCUGCGUCCUUCUCAUCAGAUGUCCUGUAAUGAAAUUCAUCUAGUUCUCCCAUCUCCAAUGAGG